AACGAACGCUGGCGGCAUGCCUAACACAUGCAAGUCGAACGAGACCUUCGGGUCUAGUGGCGCACGGGUGCGUAACGCGUGGGAACCUGCCCUUAGGUUCGGAAUCACUCCCCGAAAGGGGUGCUCAUACCGGUUAAUGUCUUCGGACCAAAGAUUUCUCGCCUUUGGAUGGGCCCGUGUUGGUUUAGCUAGUUGGUAGGGUAAAAGCCUACCAAGGCGACGAUCCAUAGCUGGUCUGAGAGGAUGAUCAGCCACACUGGGACUGAGACACGGACCAGAAUCGUACGGGAGGCAGCAGUGGGGAAUAUAGGACAAGGGGCGAAAGCCUGAUCCAGCAAUGCCGCGUGAGUGAUGAAGGCCUUAGGGUUGUAAAGCUCUUUUACACGGGAUGAUAAUGACAGUAACGGGAGAAUAAGCACCGGCUAACUACGUG
This 433-nucleotide ribosomal RNA is filed under the name uncultured bacterium. Its description in RNAcentral is "partial 16S ribosomal RNA". It matches the Rfam family "Bacterial small subunit ribosomal RNA", at positions 29 to 507 of the family's 1533-position model. The record is from RNAcentral.